AAGUCGUAACAAGGUUUCCGUAGGUGAACCUGCGGAAGGAUCAUUAGUGAAUAUUAGGGUGCUCUUUUCUGCGGAAGCGAUUAGAGGCCUGACCUCCACUUAUCCUAACACUGUGCACUCUAAAAAGAAUUGGAGUCGUGGCUUCACGGCCCGCUUCAGUUUUUUCUUAUAUCACACACUUGUCAAAGAAUGUAAAACAAACAUAACAAAAUAAAACUUUCAACAACGGAUCUCUUGGCUCUC
This 243-nucleotide unclassified non-coding RNA is filed under the name fungal sp. Its description in RNAcentral is "partial internal transcribed spacer region". The stretch from base 1 to 46 matches the Rfam family "Eukaryotic small subunit ribosomal RNA", at positions 1786 to 1831 of the family's 1831-position model. The record is from RNAcentral. Lineage: Eukaryota; Fungi.